Sinocyclocheilus rhinocerous is the source of this 1101-nucleotide long non-coding RNA. RefSeq lists it as uncharacterized. The transcript is spliced from 2 exons. The record is from RefSeq and is a predicted model, not a curated record. NCBI's taxonomy places the organism in Eukaryota, Metazoa, Chordata, Actinopteri, Cypriniformes, Cyprinidae.
GGAUUGAUUUUGUUGUUGUUCUUGUUUGGGAAGUUUGGUCCAUUUUGUCUCAGAUCUGCUUAGAGUUCAUUUCAUAGUUACUUUAUCUUAUCUAGAGGGGUCUUAUAGAAGAAAAACAAUUCCAUAAGGUUGAUGUUUAGCUUUCAGCAAGGGAGCAAGUAGACCUUUGUCUCAAUCAAAGGUGCUUUGAUUGCUAACAUGACAUAUUGCUCGUGAACAUCAUCACAACAACAUUAAAUGCUCACUUCUGAUAUAACACACAGGGUCUGCGCUGGGAAGGGUUGUCCUUGGCUCUUCUGAUGUGAUUUCCUUGCUUUAUUAAUCAAAUGGCUAUCAAGCACAGUGCUGGUGAACAGGAAGUGAAAUGAGUGUGUUAAAGUGUGGGCGACCAGCUGUAAGUGCUCUGAUGUGUCUUUUCUGCAGCACUGAUCCCUCUGUGGUUAACAUAUCUGAUGAGAUGGCCAAAACUGCUGUGUGGAGAGCUGUUGCCAUGAGCUCUGACAGUGCCAAAAUAUUGAAACCUAGUGCCAGUGAAGAGAAGACGGUUAGUAUUAAGAUCAAUGCGGAAGACGAGCAGGGGGAUAAAUGUGUGGAUACAGAGACGUCAUUAUGAUUUUGAGACUUUGAGAGCUCACUGUGGACACGUGCAGGGCCCUUCCCAGAGUCCUCUAGUCUGGAAUGGUGUUGCUCUGUUCUGUGUGCCCUGCCAACUUGCCUAAGUCAAGCCAAAGGUAGAGAUGCCCGAUAGAGGGCUGAGAAAUGACUUCCAGGUAUAUUUAUCUCUGUUUCUAUUUUUAAUCAAACCAACAAACCUUUUUAUUUUGUACAUUUUGUUUUUAAUAUGAAUAAAGCACCAUGAUUUCAGACAUAUACUGUAGGGAAUGUUAUGAAGAGCUCAGACCAGUAGGUUUCAUAUUUUUACUUCAUUUUGUCAUUUAAUUUUUUUCAAGAUAGAUGUGAAGACGAAGUCUUUUAGAAUUAGUUUUACAUGCCAAAAUCCUGUUUCUCACGGUACCAGUUUUCAGAUCAUCACCCUGGAUGUUUUUCUUUAAGUACAUUAAAAUGCUGUUUGUUGCAGUGCUUUUUUUUUUAUUUUUAUUU